Molecule: ribosomal RNA, 1244 nt
Filed under: metagenome
Description: bacterial LSU rRNA
Rfam family: Bacterial large subunit ribosomal RNA
Source: RNAcentral
UGAAUACGAGAUGCUACGGCGUCGAAGCAGUCUAUGUCAUACUUCCAAGAAAAGCUCGCACUGUCAUAAACAAAUAAUGCCUGUACCAUAACCGACACAGGUGGGUAGGUAGAGUAUACUAAGGGGCGCGAGAUAACUCUCUCUAAGGAACUCGGCAAAAUGACUCCGUAACUUCGGGAGAAGGAGUGCCUUAUUUAUAAGGUUGCAAUAACAAGAUCCAAGCAACUGUUUAUCAAAAACACAGGUCUCCGCUAAGUCGUAAGACGAUGUAUGGGGGCUGACGCCUGCCCAGUGCCAGAAGGUUAAAGAAGUUGGUUAGCAUUCGCGAAGCUGAUAACUGAAGCCCUGGUGAACGGCGGCCGUAACUAUAACGGUCCUAAGGUAGCGAAAUUCCUUGUCGGGUAAGUUCCGACCCGCACGAAAGGCGUAAUGAUUUGGAUACUGUCUCGGAGAGGGGCUCGGUGAAAUAGACUUGUCUGUGAAGAUGCGGACUACCUGCACCAGGACAGAAAGACCCUAUGAAGCUUUACUGUAACUUGAGAUUGAAAUUGGACUUUACUUGCGCAGUAUAGGUGGGAGGCGUUGAUAAUAUUCUUGCGGGAUUAUUUGAGCCAUCAGUGAGAUACCACUCUUGUAAUGUUAGAUUUCUAACUUUGUAUCAUUAUCUGGUCAAAGGACAGUUUCAGGCGGGCAGUUUGACUGGGGCGGUCGCCUCCUAAACGGUAACGGAGGCGCACAAAGGUUUCCUCUGAACGGGUAGAAAUCGUAUCUAGAGUGUAAAGGCAUAAGGAAGCUUGACUGUGAGACCUACAAGUCGAGCAGGGACGAAAGUCGGUCUUAGUGAUCUGACGGUGCUGAGUGGAAAGGCCGUCACUCAACGGAUAAAAGUUACUCUAAGGAUAACAGGCUGAUCUCCCCCAAGAGUUCACAUCGACGGGGAGGUUUGGCACCUCGAUGUCGGCUCAUCGCAUCCUGGGGCGGUAGUACGUCCCAAGGGUUGGGCUGUUCGCCCAUGAAAGCGGUACGCGAGCUGGGUUCAGAACGUCGUGAGACAGUUCGGUCCAUAUCCGGUGUAGGCGUUAGAAUAUUGAGAGGAGCCUUCUUUAGUACGAGAGGACCGAGAAGGACAUACCUCUGGUGUACCAGUUAUCGUGCCAACGGUAAACGCUGGGUAGCUAUGUAUGGAGUGGAUAACCGCUGAAAGCAUCUAAGUGGGAAGCCCACCUCAAGAUAAGUAUUCUCAU